This 433-nucleotide ribosomal RNA is filed under the name uncultured bacterium. Its description in RNAcentral is "partial 16S ribosomal RNA". It matches the Rfam family "Bacterial small subunit ribosomal RNA", at positions 29 to 507 of the family's 1533-position model. The record is from RNAcentral.
AACGAACGCUGGCGGCAUGCCUAACACAUGCAAGUCGAACGAGACCUUCGGGUCUAGUGGCGCACGGGUGCGUAACGCGUGGGGACCUGCCCUUAGGUUCGGAAUAACUCCCCGAAAGGGGUGCUAAUACCGGAUAAUGUCUUCGGACCAAAGAUUUAUCGCCUUUGGAUGGGCCCGCGUUGGAUUAGCUAGUUGGUAGGGUAAAAGCCUACCAAGGCGACGAUCCAUAGCUGGUCUGAGAGGAUGAUCAGCCACACUGGGACUGAGACACGGCCCAGACUCCUACGGGAGGCAGCAGUGGGGAAUAUUGGACAAUGGGCGAAAGCCUGAUCCAGCAAUGCUGCGUGAGUGAUGAAGGCCUUAGGGUUGUAAAGCUCUUUUACCCGGGAUGAUAAUGACAGUACCGGGAGAAUAAGCUCCGGCUAACUCCGUG